UGCGCAGGCGGUUUUGUAAGACAGGCGUGAAAUCCCCGGGCUUAACCUGGGAAUUGCGCUUGUGACUGCAAAGCUGGAGUGCGGCAGAGGGGGAUGGAAUUCCGCGUGUAGCAGUGAAAUGCGUAGAUAUGCGGAGGAACACCGAUGGCGAAGGCAAUCCCCUGGGAUAAUACUGACGCUCAUGCACGAAAGCGUGGGGAGCAAACAGGAUUCGAUACCCGCGUA
This 225-nucleotide ribosomal RNA is filed under the name uncultured Hydrogenophaga sp. Its description in RNAcentral is "partial 16S ribosomal RNA". It matches the Rfam family "Bacterial small subunit ribosomal RNA", at positions 568 to 792 of the family's 1533-position model. Lineage: Bacteria; Pseudomonadati; Pseudomonadota; Betaproteobacteria; Burkholderiales; Comamonadaceae. The record is from RNAcentral.